Limanda limanda (common dab) is the source of this 2650-nucleotide long non-coding RNA. RefSeq lists it as uncharacterized. The record is from RefSeq and is a predicted model, not a curated record. NCBI's taxonomy places the organism in Eukaryota, Metazoa, Chordata, Actinopteri, Pleuronectiformes, Pleuronectidae. The transcript is spliced from 4 exons.
UAACUAGCAGCAUGAAACGAAUUCGACCACCGAGAUGCUCAGUGCUGGGCUGCACAAAUCCGCACAAAGCUCUUCAUGUGACUCCAGCUUCAGAAGACACAAGAUUGAGAUGGAUCGAGUUCAUAUAUGACGGCAACGUUCCUGCAAGAGUUGGCAAAUAUCUGUUAGUGUGCUCUAACCACUUUUCAUCGGACUGUUUUACCAACCUGGGCCAAUAUAACGCCGGAUACGCGAACAGGUUGUUCUUGAAAGAGGGGUCGUGCCAUCAUUCCGUCGCAACACUCAAGACGAAUACGAAGUAUUUUUUUUUAUAAUUCUGGUAUUUGCUUCUUUUAGACAUUUUGUGUGGAGGCUAGUGACGUUAGCACGUUGUGGCGUGUGUGUGAGGGGCUGGGGGCUAGUAUGUAGUGGUUGGGGACAGGGAUGAGACUUUACAGGAGUUUUCAUGUUGGACUAUUAAUAACGUUAUUGAACAACUCAUCGCGGACGGCUGGCGAGUCUUAGCGAGAAGACAGGGUCGGAGUCCACGGUGAACGGUGUUCGCACGGCAGGUUCGUGUGUGUUGUGCUCUCCACGCUGGUUGCCUCUCCUCCUUCGUCUCUUCCUGUGAGUACUGUGGCGCAGAUUUUUUUCCACGGCAGCACUGGGCUGGAAGUGAGCUCCUGCUACAGCUCCUGCUACAUGCGCCGUAGCUAACUCCCAGCCCCGCGCAGCUACGUUAGCUCCGGCACAUGUACCAACUCCUGCUACAUAUGCCGGGCUGGAGCUAACUUGCAGCUACGUUAGCAUGCGCCGUAGCCUCCUGCCUCCGUUACACUCAUCUGCUGAGGGAAGUCGCCCGGAAGAUGUUGUUGUCAUAAUGUGUGGGACUAGAACGAUUAAUCACUACCAGCCCUAGUUGGGGAAAAUGUGUCCUUGUAUCCUUGUGUAGCCCUGUAUAAAAAUCACUAGGAUACACUGCAUAAAAUUAAUCUCAAAAUAGCAUAACAAAUGUUGUAUUAAAAGAGAAAGUUCCUGAUAACUAGAUAAGUUCAUAUUAUUAAAAAUAGCAGUUAAAAUAGGGAUAAAUACGGGAUAAAAUGUAAUAAAUAUAAUAUGUACAGUUAAUAAGUUUAGAUAUUUACAGUUAAAAAGUAAAUCAAUAAAUAGAUGUGUGGUUAAAAGGCUCUGUGAUUGAGAAGACGAGAGACUUAUUGAUUUGAGUGCUUUUAAUGUGACAUCUAACUUUUCUCAGUGUUGUGUCAGUCAUUCAGUUUUUGUGUUCUCAUUGGGUAGUAGCAAAGUCACAGCCAAUCCAAGUCAUCCGUCUUGUAUGGGGCGGGACAUGAUAUGCAGGUGGUGGUUCAGCAUGCUUCGAGCAGGUGGGUCAGAGAGAGAGAUAGAGUCCAGAGUCCUGAGGAAAAGUGUUGUGCUGUGGGAAACAUUUAAGAGGUAUCGUCCAGGUCGACUACUCGUGGUCCUGAUAUUAACUCUUCUAUGUAACCUGCCAAAGGAGACGGACGUCUGUGAAGAGAGAGAGAGAGAGAAACUGAGAGUGCUGGUGGAUGGACCCUGCUGUUUUUCUUCUUCCCUGGAUUUUCAUUGCUGUGUGUGCUGCCUGUGUUUGGAUUGUGACUGCCAUCACCCCUAUCUGUGACAUUACCCUAUUGCUCCUCGUUUUGACCUGUGAGUAUUGAACUGAUUUGACAAUGCAUGUGCUUUUAUUUUAUGCUCUUGACUGAGUGAAGUGGCCAUAACAGUUUUCAGGCCUCACCGCACCCGAGCAUCACUACAGGCCUGCAACUGAGUCUACAGUUUAUCAUUUCUGGAGUAGGCCCACAUGUGAUGUUUGUGAGUUAAUUUAAAGUUGAUAGGAAUUGUUUUGUUUUGAUUCAGAGACCUGUGAAAGGUAAAGAUUUUAUUUAACCUUGUCCGUGAGUUAAAGGGUUUAUUGAGAGGUGUUGGAGUUUGUUCAUUAUCAGAGUCGUGGCACAUCAAUAAUUAGCAUAAACUGGUGAUUUCCUUAUUCUAAAACCCGGUUACACACCGCACUGCUUCAUAUACCAAACUCUGUCUCUGCUUUAUUCCACAGACACUGACUACCUCUUCACCAACUAAGUUCUCUACAAUAAACGAUAUCGCUUUCGCAAGUUAUGCUUGUAAGGAUACAAACAUCACAAGAGAUAACCUCUACAACCUCACAAUUGAGGCUCAUGAAACCUGCAUUCAACUUAUGGUGAAAAAUAUUCGCAACAUUAGAGCUGCAACACAAAAAGAUGCCUCAAAAACCCAGCAAAUCCUCCACUUGCAACGACAACUACAAGCUGCUCUCCAAACAAGUUGAAGUCCUGCAGUCUACUGUUGCAUUUGACAAUGACGACAUGAUGACCUCUCCUGUUCAGACAGAACCAAACCCCACCACUGAUGCCAAAACCACCACUGCCAUCAUUCACGUGACCAGCGUUGACAUCAUUCCAGACCCCAACACUGGCAUCAUGCAGGAGACCAACACUGCAGACAAAAAUGCUGACAUCAUGCAAGAAUAAUGCGCUUUCUAACUUGUAUAUAUUUAAUACCUAUUUGUACACUUGCAUGUUUAUACUCACAUAAUUCUUUCGUUUAUUUCUUCUUUUCUAUGCCUUUAAUAUAAUAAAUACCUCUUUCAAACCUA